GUGCUCGCUUUGGCAGCACAUAUGCUAAAAUUGGAACGGUACAGAGAAGGUUGGCACGGCCCCUGCACAAGGAUGACAAGCAAAUUCGUGCAGCGUUCCAGAUUUUU
Small nuclear RNA from Artibeus jamaicensis (Jamaican fruit-eating bat), 107 nucleotides. NCBI's taxonomy places the organism in Eukaryota, Metazoa, Chordata, Mammalia, Chiroptera, Phyllostomidae. The record is from RefSeq and is a predicted model, not a curated record.